This is a long non-coding RNA of Dipodomys spectabilis (banner-tailed kangaroo rat), 234 nucleotides long. RefSeq lists it as uncharacterized. NCBI's taxonomy places the organism in Eukaryota, Metazoa, Chordata, Mammalia, Rodentia, Heteromyidae. The record is from RefSeq and is a predicted model, not a curated record. The transcript has 3 exons.
ACAGACAAGGUGUGUACAAAUCACACCUUUAACUUAGCAAGAGGAAAAGCUCUCCCCUCAAAUGUUCCGUUGAGGAAUGUUUCUUUAAAAUGAGAAAGACUGUAAAAUUAACAGAUGAUCACUAGACUGUGUAAAAUUUCCACCAUUCAAGCCAGGCGGUGGUGGUUCACGCCUGUAAUCCUAGCUACUCAGGAUGCUGAGAUCUGAGGAUCAUGGUUCAAAGCCAGCCCAGGA